GAUGAACGCUGGCGGCGUGCCUAAUACAUGCGAGUCGAGCGAACAGACGAGAGUGCUUGCACUCUCUGACGUUAGCGGCGGACGGGUGAGUAACACGUGGGUAACCUACCUAUAAGACUGGGAUAACUUCGGGAAACCGGAGCUAAUACCGGAUAAUAUUUAGCUUCGCAUGAAGCAAUAGUGAAAGACGGUUCUGCUGUCACUUAUAGAUGGACCCGCGGUGUAUUAGCUAGUUGGUGAGGUAACGGCUCACCAAGGCAACGAUACAUAGCCGACCUGAGAGGGUGAUCGGACACACUGGGACUGAGACACGGCCCAGACUCCUACGGGAGGCAGCAGUAGGGAAUCUUCCGCAAUGGACGAAAGUCUGACGGAGCAAUGCCGCGUGAGUGAAGAAGGUUUUCGGAUCGUAAAACUCUGUUGUAAGGGAAGAACAAGUACGUUAGUAACUGAACGUACCUUGACGGUACCUUACCAGAAAGCCACGGCUAACUACGUG
RNAcentral lists this ribosomal RNA (499 nucleotides) under uncultured bacterium. RNAcentral's name for it is "partial 16S ribosomal RNA". It matches the Rfam family "Bacterial small subunit ribosomal RNA", at positions 28 to 507 of the family's 1533-position model. The record is from RNAcentral.